Molecule: small nuclear RNA, 106 nt
Organism: Octopus sinensis (East Asian common octopus)
Lineage: Eukaryota; Metazoa; Mollusca; Cephalopoda; Octopoda; Octopodidae
Source: RefSeq, a predicted model, not a curated record
GCGCUAGCUACUGUAGUACGUAUUAUAAAAUUUGAACGAUAAAUUGAAGAUUAGCGUGGUUCCUGCUCAAAAUGAAACGCAAAUUCAUGAAGUGUUCCAUAUUUUU